Molecule: long non-coding RNA, 996 nt
Organism: Oncorhynchus tshawytscha (Chinook salmon)
Lineage: Eukaryota; Metazoa; Chordata; Actinopteri; Salmoniformes; Salmonidae
Source: Ensembl
AGCGUCCACUAGGUUAACUGUGUUUUAAUGAAAAGCAUGCAUGGGGUUUGAAGCAAAUUCACAUUUUACUAAACUAACUACAUUAUAUUUAGCCAGAAUAUGACAUAUUGUGGGCUUUCACAUGAUUGUCUACGAAAUGGGUCAAACUUCAAACGGUGUCAUGGAUGAUCUUGAGUCAGAACUGAGGGUGCUAGGAGAACUGGGCGAAAAUGACUCUUCAGAUGAUGAAUCAAUCAACAGAAAACGAAUCAAGCAGCCAAACCUCCCCCGGAGUCAACUAUAUUUAAAGGCAAUUUAUAAAAUACACUUUGUUGACGAAUAUGUGAUACGCUAAUUUAUUAUCUUGACAAUGUGCUGCUACCGGUGGCUGUUUGCUUGCUCUGGACCUAUCGCGCCACGAGAACGCACGACUAUAUACCUGAUUAUCGUGUUCAUCAUUGUGUAAGAUCUCUUAGACCUAGUAACCAGUCUGUCUCCUGUAUGAUCAGAGACACACCGUGAGACUGGUUUUCACAAGACCACAAUGAACUGCCUUCUGCACAUCAAGGAGACCCUGCUACACUAUAGAUGGCAGGAAGCUGCUGAGUACAUGUCCAGUUACUCACGAACACUGGAGGACAUGCCACAACUCUACGCUGAGGACAAGCACAGAUACACCACCGUCCCAUCUUGAAGCUGGAAGACCACAACAGUUUCUAUGCGCUACUAGAGAUCUAUGCGGGAGUGAAACACUCAGGAGUGAAACAUUACCUGAAGUAAAUCUGUCUGGAGCACUCGUUUCACCUCCUGGUGAACGGGCAGUUUGAGGACGUCCAUCGCUGAGAGCUGGAGGUACGGCAAGCAGUCAGCCGAUCAGUCCCAGCGGAUUAAGCUGAUCCAGUCCUACAGUGGCUUCCUGGAUUACUUCAUCUGGUGUGGGGGGAGAAAAAAAGUCCACCGUCUCCAGCACUGAUGAGUAUGAUGGUGUCACUCAAGAGAUGCACAGCUACUUCCGCC